RNAcentral lists this small RNA (32 nucleotides) under Bombyx mori (domestic silkworm). Its description in RNAcentral is "ovarian small RNA-10485". Lineage: Eukaryota; Metazoa; Arthropoda; Insecta; Lepidoptera; Bombycidae. The record is from RNAcentral.
AAGAAGGGUCGUCGUACCCCCUUUCGGGGGCA